Molecule: ribosomal RNA, 491 nt
Filed under: uncultured bacterium
Lineage: Bacteria
Description: partial 16S ribosomal RNA
Rfam family: Bacterial small subunit ribosomal RNA
Source: RNAcentral
AGUGAACGCUGGCGGUAGGCCUAACACAUGCAAGUCGAACGGCAGCACAGUAAGAGCUUGCUCUUACGGGUGGCGAGUGGCGGACGGGUGAGGAAUACAUCGGAAUCUACUUUUUCGUGGGGGAUAACGUAGGGAAACUUACGCUAAUACCGCAUACGACCUACGGGUGAAAGCAGGGGGUCUUCGGACCUUGCGCGAUUGAAUGAGCCGAUGUCGGAUUAGCUAGUUGGCGGGGUAAAGGCCCACCAAGGCGACGAUCCGUAGCUGGUCUGAGAGGAUGAUCAGCCACACUGGAACUGAGACACGGUCCAGACUCCUACGGGAGGCAGCAGUGGGGAAUAUUGGACAAUGGGCGCAAGCCUGAUCCAGCCAUACCGCGUGGGUGAAGAAGGCCUUCGGGUUGUAAAGCCCUUUUGUUGGGUAAGAAAAGCAGCAGGUUAAUACCCCGCUGUUCUGACGGUACCCAAAGAAUAAGCACCGGCUAACUUCGU